AAACCUUCAAUAUAAAUGUUUUAAAUAUAGAAUUAUUUAUUAUAUUAUCUUGAAUGCUGUUUGUCAAUGAAAACAUUUCACCCUUAGUUUAAUGUUAUAGGCCUAGUGAUUACUUACACAAAAUCAUGUCUAAUAAAUGAACUACUAAUAAUCUACACUGCACAUGUGUACUUAUAUAUAAAUUAAUAUACACAUAUACAGAGACAUACCCAGUAUAUAUUAAUUAUAGCCUAGAAAAUGCCAAACACAGUAAAGUGAAUAAAGGAAAUGAAUUAAAAACAAGAUAAACAAACCACUCGCAUAUAUAUCGGGAUUUGAGCAGAACACACAUGUACAUCUAUAAUUAGACUAUUAAUCAUGAUUUUUUUUAGAGAUAUGAAUCCUUGGAUUACAUCUGACAGAAUAUUCUGUUUGGCUUCCAUGAAGAAAACCAGGUACAUUUAACUUUUAAAACUCCUUGGAUUCAAUAUAGUCUAGCACAGUCCUGCAGCCAUGCACCAAACUGAGUAAUGAAUGGGAGGUGGAGUUCAGGGAGAUGAAAAUAAUCAACAAUAUGUCCUCCUCAGAUCCUAAUAAAAAAAAUCUUGAUCUGGCUAGCUCCAUGCAGCAUUGAAAGCUGCUAAAAGAGUUGUUUCCCAAAACUGAUGUGGAAUAUCACUGACAAAGCUCAUGACAUCAUGGAAAGUGAGGUGAAAGUUGGUAUGACUGAGAAUCCUGUAGAAAAAAAAGAAGAUGAAAGCUCUGGUCUUAUCUGAAGAAAAGUCUGUUUACAAGAAUGAAAAAGACAGAAUUUGAUGAACAAGACUGCUUGAUUUCUAAACAAAUAUUUCUUUAUAAUCUAAAAUAACUCUUAAUUUGGUAAAAAAUAAAACACAGACAUGUUCCUUUGAAUAGGUUCCAACUGACACUCCUAAACAUGCAUUGUAAUUACUUUAUCUGUUUCCUAAAGUCUCGAGCCUAACAUUUCCUAUUUUGAACAGUAUCAGAUAGUUAUGUAUAAAUCCUACAUGUACAGUAUGAAACUUUUCUAAUUAUUUUUGCAAAAAAAAAAAAACUGUUUUAAAAAAUGAAAAAUUCCAUGACAAUGCUACUAGUAAAAGUUGUAGGCAUAAAACAUUCAGAACUGGAUCCUGCAUUUACAUGUGUAUUCUAUUUGCAUAUUGUAUUUACUAAACUCUUAUACUGAUAUUGAUUACCAUUUCAUAUGUAUUCACAUAACAUUAUCAUUAUCCACUGUCUCUGAAACUGGCACUGCCCUUAGAUGUGUGAAGCAAUUGAAUUCGGUUAUUAAUUAUUGUAUAUUUCAUUUUGUUAAUCCAAAUCCUGUUUCGGUCAAUAUUUCAUAUAUAAUUAUGAUAUGUGCAGUGCAGAAAUGUGAAAUCUUUUUUUUUUUUUUUUGAAAAGUGAAAUCUGACAGAAUUAGUACUUCUGAAUGAUUGUUAUUUAUUUAUAUUGUUAUAACUAAUUGCUACUUAAACUGUACAUGUCUCUCAAGGGCCCUUGAUUGGUGAAUAAACAUAUAUAUAUA
Ostrea edulis (European flat oyster) is the source of this 1528-nucleotide long non-coding RNA. RefSeq lists it as uncharacterized. Lineage: Eukaryota; Metazoa; Mollusca; Bivalvia; Ostreida; Ostreidae. The record is from RefSeq and is a predicted model, not a curated record. The transcript has 3 exons.